RNAcentral lists this unclassified non-coding RNA (326 nucleotides) under Hevea brasiliensis (rubber tree). The record is from RNAcentral. Lineage: Eukaryota; Viridiplantae; Streptophyta; Magnoliopsida; Malpighiales; Euphorbiaceae.
CAAGAAUUAGCCUUAGGACUUGAAAUCUCCGAACUACCAUUCCUCUGGGCUCUCAGGAAACCGUCAGGUUUGCCAGAAGGGUUCAAGGAUCGAACGAGCGGUCGAGGAGUCAUUGCCACGGGUUGGAUUCCGCAGGUGAGGGUGUUGGCUCAUCCAGCAAUUGGAGGGUUUUUGACACACUGUGGCUGGAGUUCUGUCAUCGAGAGCCUUCAGUAUAGUAUUCCACUGAUUCAGCUGCCUAUAUAUGGGGACCAGGGGAUUAAUUCUAGAGUGAUGAAGGAGAAGAAAAUCGGAGUUGAGGUGGAGAGGGAUGACGGCGAUGGGAG